Molecule: ribosomal RNA, 495 nt
Filed under: uncultured bacterium
Lineage: Bacteria
Description: partial 16S ribosomal RNA
Rfam family: Bacterial small subunit ribosomal RNA
Source: RNAcentral
GACGAACGCUGGCGGCGUGCCUAAUACAUGCAAGUAGAACGCUGAAGGAGGAGCUUGCUUCUCUGGAUGAGUUGCGAACGGGUGAGUAACGCGUAGGUAACCUGCCUGGUAGCGGGGGAUAACUAUUGGAAACGCUAGCUAAUACCGCAUAAUAGUAGAUGUUGCAUGACAUUUGCUUAAAAGGUGCAAUUGCAUCACUACCAGAUGGACCUGCGUUGUAUUAGCUAGUUGGUGGGGUAACGGCUCACCAAGGCGACGAUACAUAGCCGACCUGAGAGGGUGAUCGGCCACACUGGGACUGAGACACGGCCCAGACUCCUACGGGAGGCAGCAGUAGGGAAUCUUCGGCAAUGGACGGAAGUCUGACCGAGCAACGCCGCGUGAGUGAAGAAGGUUUUCGGAUCGUAAAGCUCUGUUGUAAGGGAAGAACGAGUGUGAGAGUGGAAAGUUCACGCUGUGACGGUAUCUUACCAGAAAGGGACGGCUAACUACGUG